CCUACGUGUGGCAGCAGUGGGGAAUAUUGCACAAUGGGGGAAACCCUGAUGCAGCAACGCCGCGUGAGUGAAGACGUAUUUCGGUAUGUAAAGCUCUAUCAGCAGGGAAGAAGAUGACGGUACCUGAUUCACAACCCCCGGCUAACUACGUGCCAGCAGACGCGGUAAUACGUAGGGGGCAAGCGUUAUACGGAUGUACUGGGUGUUAAGGGAGCGCAGGCGGCAGUGCAAGUCUGGAGUGAAAGCCCGGGGCCCAACCCCGGAACUGCGCUGGAAACUGUGCGGCUAGAGUACUGGAGAGGCAGGCGGAAUUCCUAGUGUAGCGGUGAAAUGCGUAGAUAUUAGGAGGAACACCAGUGGCGAAGGCGGCCUGCUGGACAGUAACUGACGUUGAGGCUCGAAAGCGUGGGGAGCAAACAGGAUUAGAUACCCGGGUAGUC
This 440-nucleotide ribosomal RNA is filed under the name uncultured bacterium. RNAcentral's name for it is "partial 16S ribosomal RNA". It matches the Rfam family "Bacterial small subunit ribosomal RNA", at positions 338 to 795 of the family's 1533-position model. The record is from RNAcentral.